This 1985-nucleotide unclassified non-coding RNA is filed under the name Hevea brasiliensis (rubber tree). The record is from RNAcentral. Lineage: Eukaryota; Viridiplantae; Streptophyta; Magnoliopsida; Malpighiales; Euphorbiaceae.
GUGAUAUUAUUAAUUUUUUUGUUUUUCUUUUUCUCUCGAGCUCCUUAAUUAGAAUAGACAUGCAUAGAUGUGACUUUGAUGAUAAAAUGGGAAAUAUUACUUAUCAACUACUCUUGUUUAAUGCACCUGCAGGGAGGUAUUUAUAUAUACACCUACUGUUAUAUAUUUUUUACACAUAAAUACUUAGACUGUUUCUCAAUGAGUGGAAAUUUGGAUCAAGUGAAAGAAACUGUAAGAUUGAGAAGCUUUCCUUAUUCUACAAAACCAUCUGACCCAAACCAUGUUCUCUUCUUUUUAUUACUAUACAUACAUAAUAGCAUCUCUGCACCAAUAUUUCUCUCUUUCCAAUAAGAAAAAGUCUUUGUUUCUUGAAAAAUGGUUUCUUAUUUCCUAUACUACAUUAUUUUUGGACGUAAACAGUUUGUUUUCAAUAAUGCCGACAACUAAUGAGCCUAGCUACAUCCAUUCUGUAUCUUUGCUAUUAAAUGUAACUUUGUCACAUUGCAGUGGCUUGUACUACAACAUCAACUGAGUUCAAAUAUUAACCACAAGUUUACCUGUAAUCAAGAUGGAUAUUUUCUUUUGAUUUAACAAUCAUAUGGCAGCCUCGGUAGCCUAUGAUUUCUUGUUUUAUUAUAGACCAAUAAUAAAAAUUUUUCCCCCAAGAUCAACAGAAGGAAUUAAAACAGUUGGAUCUUUUUUUGAUAUAUAAUCUCCAAUUCAGUUUUAGUGAAUAAAUAAUUUAUCUAACAUAUAUAUACUAUGUUCAUUGUUUGCGUGUAAUCCUAUGAAAGUCUAAAUGAAAAGAGUUGCUUUAAUUAUUCUUCACAUGUUUUCAGAGCAAGGGCUUGUGAUUUUAAAUGUUAAUUAUCAGUGUAAGUACAGUUAUUGAAGAUCAAACCUCUAAAAAUAAAAUCACGAUGUGGUUUUGUAUUAGUUAAUUCAUUGCCACGUCUAUCAUAUAUGACUUCUGAAGAGUGAACUUGGGAAAAAAAUGGAGAACUAUGGAAGACUGUUUUUAUGCCAAAUGUGAAGUAAGGUGUUAUACUUUAGAUGCUAGCUGUUGAUUAUGAAUUUUCUGCUAAAUGUUCAGUUUUUGUCCUUUUGAGUCUAUAAGGUAAGUUUUUAUGGACAAACACCAAAAGAAAAAAGCUCGCUUGAAAUUUUUUGUUACCCUCAGUGUGGAAAGUUAAGAUAUCUUUCAAGUUAUUUGGCUGGAUACUGUAACUGGAAAUGAAAUUUGUAAUACUCUUAUGUAAACUGUGUAAUCUAAGCUUGAAUUUCAGUGGAACAUGCUUUUCGUGGAAAAAUUCUGGAAACACCUACUUAUUAUUUUAAAUGUUCAUGCUGUGUAAAGUAUUUAAAUUAUAAUUGUGCUCAGUUUUGUUGUUUUGUCUGUAACUAGCACAGUAUAUUGCCUAUUUAGUAUUUCUGCUAAUUCUACUUUGGAUGAAAACCUUCAUGUAAGAAGAUGGUAAUUAAUAGUGAAGAGAGCCGGAAAAACUGAGUGUUAAAACAUUACAAUACUAGUUUUCACAUAUAUAAUGAUUUAUUCUUGCACGCAAAUAUGCAUCAGUUUAUAAAUUAAUAAUUUUAAUGGUACACCAUUCAUUUUGAGAAAAUGAAUGGCACAAUUAAUGCUAAAUGUUUAUUAGUUUUGUUUUUAUCCUUUACCCUAUAGCUACUGCUAUUGUUGGGGAAAGUGGCACUAAUUUCGUGUCUGAUUCGAUGCCUACUCUUUAUAUAUGUAACUUCCGUCUUCUCCCUGAAGCUUGCAUUAUAUUCCUAUUCCUUGUGUUGUGUAAGAGUCAAGACCAGUGGAAAUUUCUUCAGAGAAAAUAAGCCGGACUCUGAGAAUGACAUUUUUCAUUUUUGGUGAAAAUAUUGGGUAGGAAGUUGGAAUUUUACAUAAAACUGGAUUGAGCAUGCCUAUAACCUAAAGUUGCUAUUAAAACAAAUAGAUGACUUGAGAAGCUGUGUUCUUU